UUCGUUCACUAGGGGCGGCCCAUGAAUAACCGGGCCUGAGAGAGAACCCUCUGAACCUGAUCAGGACAAUCGCCGAAUCGGCGUCGAUGCCUGCGUAGGAAAGUGAUUGGCAAAAUUA
RNAcentral lists this non-coding RNA (118 nucleotides) under Planctomycetota bacterium. RNAcentral describes it as "Planctomycetes bacterium TPP sequence". It matches the Rfam family "TPP riboswitch aptamer (THI element)". Rfam says of the family: Vitamin B(1) in its active form thiamin pyrophosphate (TPP) is an essential coenzyme that is synthesised by coupling of pyrimidine and thiazole moieties in bacteria. The previously detected thiamin-regulatory element, thi box was extended, resulting in a new, highly conserved RNA secondary structure, the THI element, which is widely distributed in eubacteria and also occurs in some archaea. The record is from RNAcentral. Lineage: Bacteria; Pseudomonadati; Planctomycetota.